Molecule: ribosomal RNA, 253 nt
Filed under: uncultured bacterium
Lineage: Bacteria
Description: partial 16S ribosomal RNA
Rfam family: Bacterial small subunit ribosomal RNA
Source: RNAcentral
UACGAAGGGGGCUAGCGUUGCUCGGAAUCACUGGGCGUAAAGGGUGCGUAGGCGGGUCUUUAAGUCAGGGGUGAAAUCCUGGAGCUCAACUCCAGAACUGCCUUUGAUACUGGCGAUCUCGAGUCCGGGAGAGGUGAGUGGAACUGCGAGUGUAGAGGUGAAAUUCGUAGAUAUUCGCAAGAACACCAGUGGCGAAGGCGGCUCACUGGCCCGAUACUGACGCUGAGGCACGAAAGCGUGGGGAGCAAACAGG